Molecule: long non-coding RNA, 3733 nt
Organism: Varanus komodoensis (Komodo dragon)
Lineage: Eukaryota; Metazoa; Chordata; Lepidosauria; Squamata; Varanidae
Exons: 3
Source: RefSeq, a predicted model, not a curated record
AGCCUUCCUGGGCUGAAAAGUCCGUAGCCUGCAGUUGGAUGGCCAGCCACAUGUGGAUGCUGACAGCUAUGCAUUAUUCACACAAAUGGGGCUAGUAAGUGCCACUUGGUACAGCCUGGAAUCUUUGGAGGGCUGUUCCGAGAUUGGAAACAAGUUCUGUUUAUGCUGAUGUGUGCCUUUGUUGGACUUAUGCUCCUUCCUUGCUUAAUUCCCAUAAUUCAGUCUAUAGUAACUUGCACUAUUGAAGGUAUGAUGGUGGUUACAACCAACCCAAAGAAACCUGAUGACCCGGCAAAAACCCUGGUACUCAGAUGUGUCCCAAGGGAAUGCUCUUCCUUGCUUCAAUGACAACCCAUGGAGGCCACCUCCAGGGUUGCAUAUAUGAAAAGGGAGGAAAUGAAGGAGCCUGAUUAGCUUAACUAACAUUAUUUAGUUCUAGCUAAACUAACGCUAUUUGCUUUUGUAGAAAGCUGCUUGCUUGAAAGCUUGGUUAGCUCAAUUAAUGUCAUUUGGUUUUUGUAUAACUGCUUGCUUUGGAGAAGAAAAAGGAGGGGGCUAAAGAAUGUUGAUAAGGUAAGACAAAGGGGUAGUGUAAAGAAGAGGACCCCCCAGAGAAAGGGGUAGUGUGAAGAGGAGGACUCCCUACGCAAGGCCUGGCACGCCGUGAUCACGCUCCGUCUGUGAAGGGAUUGGAUGGAGAGAGCCUCUUCCCCGAGGACAGGCAUGCAGUGGACAUGCAGACCCCGUAAGGGGAUUGGGCAAAGGGUCAGGCAGACCCUGGGAGGUGAUUGGAUGAGGGAACAAUGGGGGUGAGAUUGUGUGGGGGAAAAAGUAAGAAAAAGAAAAGCUAUAAGAAGGAUGUGUUGAUGGAAUGUGGGGUGUUGUUGCUUCCCAGCUGAAUCAAAGAACCAAAUGAAUCUCCGCCUUGCUGAACCUUAUUGGCAUUUGGUUUAGAGGUCUGUACGUCACCUGGCUAGCAGGGACAUCAACAAUACAGAGCUGCAAUAGUGCGCAGGGGAGUUUCUGGGAGAAAGUGGCAUGUUGGUAAAUGAGUAAGAAUCCUUCCUUCCGUUCAUGGCUGGUCCUGUUAUGCAGCGAAGUAUAACAACACCUGCACUAUGCAGGGCAAGGACACAAGCAAAGGCUGGGACUGGGUUUCUGAAUGGUGCAAAAAGACUUUUUCAAGUGCUGACGUUAGCAGGGGACGGGGCAUUUGGGCUCCACAGGCAGCAAAAUGCCUUGGGGUGGCACUGCUCCUGCAUGUCACUACUAAUCGUCUUUAAUCCUGUCUCCUGUUCCCACACCCACCACUUUCCCAGAGCAGAGUGGUAUUGAGAAGGACACUUUAGAUCACAUAAGUGCUAGUGGUAUAUUUGUAUAAAGAAUGCAUGCAACACCUUGGUUUGAUCAUUUUGAUACACUUGAAUACUGUAUUUGAAAGUAUAGAGGUCAAAUCCAUAUUGCUGUCAGUAGUAUUUGCAUGAGAGGAAAUUAAAGAUAAAUACCCAAUGAAGCAAGCAAAAAGACGAACUGACACAAUGGGCAGGUUAGCGUGACACAACAAGCAAUGGGAGGAUUUGGGUUUUUUUAAUCUUUGUUAAUCUGCUGUGUCAUCUGAACUCCAUCAUGGUAUUUCAGCACAGCACACUGUGCUUUUAGAAACCACAAACAGGAAUAAUAGUUUGUUGUAUGGUAUCUUGGUACCACAGCGCCUUAAUGUGUUGUCUGGAAAACACAGCUCAUUGUAGAACCAAGGCCAACACCAUAGAGCCACCUAGCAAGAGCGCCCGUCACUGCUCUUGUGAGGUAAGUAGCCGGAGUACCACUGCAGUUUUGCCACACUUUGCCUGUCUCCUGCCCUAAAGAUGAUCUUUGGGGCAGAAGUGGAUGAUCAGCUAGUUGGCACUGGGAAAGGAGUAGUGUCACUCAGCUGAUUCCUCUACUGCCCCUCCCAUGCAAGUGCUGCUGGGAUAUCACCUGGAGGACUGAGAGGGAGGGAGAUGGCGGGAGGGAGAGUUACCGCAGUGAGCCUGAUCAUCUGUAAGGUGCAUCUACUUAAAAAAUUGUGACGCAUGGAAAUUAUAGAGUCACGUGUAGUGUAGUGUGAACCCAGCCAAUAACAAAGCUGUCAUUCAUAUUUCCAUAAAACUGACUUAUUGUACUAAGUUAGACAAUUGAUCAGUUGGUUAAUCAAUUUGAUCAACUGUUGAUUCUGACUGGCAGAAUUUUUCCAAGAUCUUUGCUAGGAGACCCACCUAGUAGUGCUACUGAAGUUCCUUUCUCCUGGAGAUUGGACAUGGGACUAUCUACAUCUAAAUCAUGCGUACCAGAACUGAACUAGUGCUCCUUUCCAGAUGUUUUCUGAAGAUAAAAAAAUCAGCUUGCCAUCAUCAGAAAGAAAGGAAGAUUUAAACCACUGACCCUAUCACUAUAACAAUGAAAGCACCACAUGAAGCCCAAACCCCAUGUAUCUUGUUUUUUAUUUUGGGUAAGUAAACAUGCUUAGUAUCACUGUGCAAGUCUAGAAUUGAGACCAGGGCGGUGAUGCUAACCAUUUAGCUGAAAUAGCUUCAGUGGAACUUAACAGGGCUUUUGACAGGCCUGUGUUUCUAAGGAUUGCUGUUUCAUUGCUAGCCAAACUCUUCCAGGACCCUGCUUAGUAAGCACUGGCUAGCCACCAUUUCUUGGACUAAAUUCUUCCAUUUGUAAAAUGGGAGUAGUUAUGAUUUCUUCAUUUGGGUCAGAAGACAAUUAAAUAUGAGUAAAGAAGACUUUGGCCCAUUUAGAGACAUACAUAGGCCUAGAUGCUUGAAAAAAGUCCUGUGCAUGCAAUUCCAGUUUCAAUCAAUGAAACUGGCAAGUGUUUCAUCAAACAUAAUGUUGCACAAUGCUAUUUUAAUGUAUUAACUGCUCUACAAGUACUUUCAUGUGGCAUAAAAUCAACCAAGUUAGCUACACCCAUAAUUAUCCAGAUUCUUAGCGUUCACAUCUGAAAGCAUUUGUCCUUUGAUAAAUACACUGUGGUUGCUUGGCUGGCCCCUUGGUAGCCUUGUGAGAAAUAUGAAGUAGGACUGAUCAGAUAAAUAUAACCCAGAUGGAGUGAGAUGCAUAGCAAGCAAGGUUAGUCAGGCUCCAAAAGGGAAGGGUGAUUGGCUUGAGAUCCUAGUCUAAAGUGCAGUGCUUGGGUUUGAUUAAUUUUAUAUAGUUUAGUUCUAAAUUGCAUAGCAGAGACUGACUUGGUACCAAUAUAAUGCAUGGAAGUCCACUUAUGCAAAAGCACCUCUGUGCAUUUUUUCUUUCCCUCCUCCUGGUUCUGGUCCUUUGGGGGAAAUCUGUUUUAUCAGUGGUUUUCCUUCCUCUGACAAAACAUCACGAUUAGAUACAACCUUAAAGCAGUUAUUUUUCUUUAUCAUUUAUUUUAGUAAUAUUAACAUUGAGCCCUUAUAGGAGGGCUAUAAAUCAGGAGGAACAGGAAAUUCAAACAAAAGAGAUGUGAAAAAACUUCUUUUGCAAUCACACUCAAGUUGAAUAAUCCACAGAAGAGAAGAGAAACUUAGAUGUUUUAUUUUAAGUCUUGGCCUGAGUUGGUAACAAUAUUUAUAGCCAACUGUUAUUGUGGGUGUCUGGCAACAGUAGUUUACACUCAGACAUCAAUCUUCAACUUUUUCCCUGAAAACUACUAGAUGUGUGGUGAUGGCUCCAGUUUGCUAGAAUUGCCACCAAUGCUCCUUGU